GGGCUGGCUGUAGCUUGGCGGUUCCUUCGAAUGCCUUAUGAUUUAACCACCCUUCCGAGGGUGGUUCGAGACCUGCGGCCGCUCACUAGCCCAACC
This 96-nucleotide vault RNA is filed under the name Physeter macrocephalus (sperm whale). Its description in RNAcentral is "Physeter catodon (sperm whale) Vault RNA (ENSPCTG00005000650.1)". It matches the Rfam family "Vault RNA". Rfam says of the family: This family of RNAs are found as part of the enigmatic vault ribonucleoprotein complex. The complex consists of a major vault protein (MVP), two minor vault proteins (VPARP and TEP1), and several small untranslated RNA molecules. The record is from Rfam by way of RNAcentral. Lineage: Eukaryota; Metazoa; Chordata; Mammalia; Artiodactyla; Physeteridae.